This 249-nucleotide unclassified non-coding RNA is filed under the name Glomeraceae sp. Its description in RNAcentral is "partial contains 5.8S ribosomal RNA and internal transcribed spacer 2". The stretch from base 1 to 71 matches the Rfam family "5.8S ribosomal RNA", at positions 84 to 154 of the family's 154-position model. Lineage: Eukaryota; Fungi; Glomeromycota; Glomeromycetes; Glomerales; Glomeraceae. The record is from RNAcentral.
GUGAAUCAUCAAAUCUUUGAACGCAAAUUGCACUCUCUGGUAUUCCGGAGAGUAUGCCUGUUUGAGGGUCAGUUUAAAUAAAAAUGGGGGUGGGUGCUGCGGGUGGUGGUGAGGCACCGGAGUUGGGUCGUCUUGCCAUGGGAUAAGUGACCUAAAAUUUUGCAUGAUUUUUUUCGAACGGAAUAAAAUGAUUUUACGUAGGUUUGCGAGAUCGAAUACUAGGUGUGGGCAUGUGAAUGAUGUGCGGCG